RNAcentral lists this long non-coding RNA (286 nucleotides) under Nicotiana benthamiana. RNAcentral's name for it is "long non-coding RNA (NBEN_LNC042301)". Lineage: Eukaryota; Viridiplantae; Streptophyta; Magnoliopsida; Solanales; Solanaceae. The record is from RNAcentral.
UUGCCAAAAACCAACGAGAAACAUCAAUUUAGGUCCUAAACGGUCUUUGAAGCUUGAAGGAGUCACGAGAUUUUUGGGUUGUUUUUUGUUUCUGCCUUUUACAAUCUCAGAUGGGCUCAACUUUGAGAUUAUUCGAUGAUCAUGGAUGGUGGAUUUGAAGAGCGGAAGCCAUGGGGGUGUUGUGGUUAAGUCAUAGGACUGUUUGGAGGUGGUGUCGCUGGCAAAAAUGGUGUAUCUCCUAGUGGUGGUGCCAGGGUUCUUCGGGCUCUCUGAUGAGGGAGAUGAG